This is a long non-coding RNA of Homarus americanus (American lobster), 2298 nucleotides long. RefSeq lists it as uncharacterized. NCBI's taxonomy places the organism in Eukaryota, Metazoa, Arthropoda, Malacostraca, Decapoda, Nephropidae. The record is from RefSeq and is a predicted model, not a curated record. The transcript has 3 exons.
AGAAAGUUUGUGUAAUCAGACCAAGUAUCAGCGUCUGACAAUGAGAAAAAACUCCCAAAAGCCUCGGUAUACACUGGCGUGCUCGUCCCAAGCUGUAGUGUGGCGAUGUCUAGCAGCGAUCUGAGAGUCGGAGCAAAGGCUUGGUGCGUGCGUGGUGCAUGGAAACUUUUAUUUUUCUAGUAUUUUGUACGAGUUAUGUGCAGUGAUAAAGCGUGUAUGGCGGCGCGAUCAACACGUGAAAGUGUCGCGGUCUGGUACGAAGUGAAGGCAAGUGACGUGUGAGGAGCAGCGCCCAGUAUGAAGGGAUAGAAGUGUAGUGAUGUUGGCUGGGAGGGUCCGUGGCUGCAAGAUGUGAGCGAGAGAGAAGGCUAGGUACUUUAAUGAAAUAUGCGCCCCAGGCCGUCCCUGAGCCUUGCCAGUGAAGCCCCACCGCAACUUCUCAACUUUUCUUUGUUUCUUGUGCAAGUGUAGAUAGAUAGUGGGUGCGGUGUGUAGUACCGGCGCUGGCCACGGCUCUCGUCUAGUGAUACAAAGUCUACCGUGAGAGCUUGGAAGUAAUUAAAUAAUACCUAAAAAAAAAAAAGAAGCAGAGUGGCGUGAUGUGUGCUGGAAAAGGGAGGAAUAUGCAUGGUAGUGCGUGAAAGGGUUGCAGCACAUCUCGGGAAGCAAGUGGGGAUGUGGAGCGGCUAGGACUUUACUGUGAUGUGAUGUGUGAUGAAUGUUGCCACCACUGACACUCGGCUUGGAGGUACUACUUGAGUGUAAGGUGUGUGGAGGCCGCGCUCACCGCCACCGACGUUUGACAGUAAAGGACAUAAGGGUUACGGUAAUUGGACCAGGCUGGCAGGACGAGAUGGUCUCACUCGCAUCUGGCUACAGCAAACACAUCGCCAGAAGGCCUGAGGCAGAAUCUUGGCCUCUCAUUCUCUCUCACCUCUCCCUCACCCUGGCCUCUCAUCUGUCUUGGCCUCUCCAUCACCCACACCUCGGGAGACCAACUACCACAAGUACUUCCAAGUAAACUCGUGUACAUUCUUUGGCACCUGAGCUCAUACUGGGUUUAGUGCCAUCGUGUUCAAGUUCUUCCUUGGUGCCAAAACGAGGAAAAAUCAGGUUUCACUUCACGUCAAGACAAGAAGAUUCUCGUAGUGCCAAGACAAAGGAAGAUUUCUCAGUGCCAAGACGAGAAGGAUUCAUUUAGUGCCAAAAUAAGGUGUGACGUCGUGCCAAAAUAAGAAGUGACAUAGUGCCAAAAUAAGGAGUGACGUAGUGCCAAAAUAAGGAGUGACGUAGUGCCAAAAUAAGGAGUGACGUAGUGCCAAAAUAAGGAGUGACGUAGUGCCAAAAUAAGGAGUGACGUAGUGCCAAAAUCGUAAAUAAAGUGAGUAUAGUUUAUAGUGAAGUGUCGUGUGCGCCAGAAAGGUUCGUCAACUCGUCUUAUUUAUCUAACUCGUGUGGAAUUUUUGUAGUGCGGAUCCAAGUGCCCCCAAAAAUAUAGUUUCCCGGAAAAUAUACGAAUAAUUUGUGAAAUAUUGUGUUAUAGUUAUCUUGUUAGUGAAGUGCAAUAUUUGUAUCAGAAAAAAACCAAGACUUUAUUAAUUAGCUUGUAAAAAAGAAAAAGAUUGAAAUAUUCUGUGUUUUGAAGCAGUUUCGGUUAAUAUUUGCUCGUUCGUGAUUAGAAAAUUAUAUUUGUUGAUAUAUUUCUUUCAUUAUUUCGCGUAAAGACUCAGAUAAAGACGGAUAAAAUUAUGCAGUUCCAUCACCUCCUCCUCGUCAGCCACAAGAACCGCGGUAGUUCCUUCCAAGACACUGGAUGAACCACCUUAGCUAUCCUUGGCCAUUUGACUCCCAAGACAUGCCAGAGCGACUAAGAGGAGUUCGUCACCGGGAGGCCUGGCACGCCCCAGUGUAGUGUGUGUGGCGUCACCAGUGUUGUGAGUGUUGAGGUAAUCGGAAACGCAUUACCCACUUGAGACGCCACAUUGGAGGAGAGAGAGAGAGAGACAUGAUGAAGGACAUACGGGAAUAUGGCUUUGUGUUACACUGCUAUGUCGUGGAGGUGUUGUGCUACUAAGAGUGUUUAGUGCCGUGAGUGUAAAUACAUGGUGUGUGUAGCCGGUGUCGUCCAGGGCCCCCUUACACUCCGUGACUCACCAAAAUGGGGCAAAGCCACGGACGACUGAACGACUCUGAGCGCAAGACCAACUCGAGCUUCUCCCACGAUUCUGAUAUCAGCUUGAGCACCCACAGCGCCGACUUCUCCCUCACCCCUCCCAGGUCCCGCAAGGCCGUGUCCUU